Molecule: ribosomal RNA, 427 nt
Filed under: uncultured bacterium
Lineage: Bacteria
Description: partial 16S ribosomal RNA
Rfam family: Bacterial small subunit ribosomal RNA
Source: RNAcentral
UGGGGAAUAUUGCACGAUGGGCGCAAGCCUGAUGCAGCCAUGCCGCGUGUAUGAAGAAGGCCUUCGGGUUGUAAAGUACUUUCAGCGAGGAGGAAGGCGUUGUGGUUAAUAACCGCAACGAUUGACGUUACUCGCAGAAGAAGCACCGGCUAACUCCGUGCCAGCAGCCGCGGUAAUACGGAGGGUGCAAGCGUUAAUCGGAAUUACUGGGCGUAAAGCGCACGCAGGCGGUCUGUCAAGUCGGAUGUGAAAUCCCCGGGCUCAACCUGGGAACUGCAUCCGAAACUGGCAGGCUAGAGUCUUGUAGAGGGGGGUAGAAUUCCAGGUGUAGCGGUGAAAUGCGUAGAGAUCUGGAGGAAUACCGGUGGCGAAGGCGGCCCCCUGGACAAAGACUGACGCUCAGGUGCGAAAGCGUGGGGAGCAAACA